RNAcentral lists this long non-coding RNA (247 nucleotides) under Homo sapiens (human). Its description in RNAcentral is "HSALNT0383414". The record is from RNAcentral. Lineage: Eukaryota; Metazoa; Chordata; Mammalia; Primates; Hominidae.
GUCACAUUGUCUCAUCACAAAAUUGGAUUGCACAGAACUCAAAUGGAGAGGACGUUCAAACUCAGGAAUGUGGAGCACUCAUCAUCUGCUGUGGUCAAAGAGACAAUCUGUGAAGAAAGUGAACAAGGCAGAUGGAGAUAAAUUCAAAAACAGAGAUCCGAAAGGCUGCUAAGAGAGAAAGGAACAGGAAUCUCCCAGUUCCUGAGAGCCUCCCAGGCUUUCUCCCUCGAUGUUUAAAAUUUGGAAA